CAGCAGCCGCGGUAAUACGUAGGGUGCGAGCGUUAAUCGGAAUUACUGGGCGUAAAGCGUGCGCAGGCGGCGAUGCAAGACAGGUGUGAAAUCCCCGGGCUUAACCUGGGAACUGCACUUGUGACUGCAUGGCUAGAGUGCGUCAGAGGGGGGUGGAAUUCCGCGUGUAGCAGUGAAAUGCGUAGAGAUGCGGAGGAACACCGAUGGCGAAGGCAGCCCCCUGGGAUGACACUGACGCUCAGGCACGAAAGCGUGGGGAGCAAACAGGAUUAGAUACCCUGGUAGUCCACGCCCUAAACGAUGUCAACUAGUUGUCGGGGAUUCAUUUCCUUGGUAACGCAGCUAACGCGUGAAGUUGACCGCCUGGGGAGUACGGCCGCAAGGUUAAAACUCAAAGGAAUUGACGG
RNAcentral lists this ribosomal RNA (407 nucleotides) under uncultured bacterium. Its description in RNAcentral is "bacterial SSU rRNA". It matches the Rfam family "Bacterial small subunit ribosomal RNA", at positions 509 to 916 of the family's 1533-position model. The record is from RNAcentral.